GUGAUGAAAGCUGAAGUCAUUUGUUUAGCCCCAGAACAGGUAUGGUACUGCUCCAAGAACGUACGUACCUCACUUCUGAGCUGGAAAGACCACCUGUAGGGAUGAAAGGGCACCUCAGGACCCAGGUCCAUUCAGGCCUUGGCUUCC
Molecule: small RNA, 147 nt
Filed under: Lepidothrix coronata (blue-crowned manakin)
Lineage: Eukaryota; Metazoa; Chordata; Aves; Passeriformes; Pipridae
Description: TUC338 (ENSLCOG00000011939.1)
Source: RNAcentral